Molecule: long non-coding RNA, 292 nt
Filed under: Lupinus angustifolius (narrow-leaved blue lupine)
Lineage: Eukaryota; Viridiplantae; Streptophyta; Magnoliopsida; Fabales; Fabaceae
Description: long non-coding RNA (LANG_LNC000057)
Source: RNAcentral
AGGAUAGGAUUCUUUUUCAAGCUUCAAUUCCCACGUGUCCUUGCUUGGUCUUCACAAUCUCGUUGGCUUCAAUAAGAGGCAGAAGGCUUUGGAUUCCUUCUCCUAGUAAUUCCCAUGGCCAUGUUGUACAAGCCCUUAAGUACAUGGUUAAAGCAUGAAAUUACCCACCAUAAAGCUCCAAUGACCAACAUUGGAUACCAAACUUGAGUAAUUUCCCACGGCUAUAAUGUGUAGCAUAAGUGCCAACGGCUAACCUAAGGAAUAGCUCACAUUGAUGAGUCCUUCAUGUUCU